GCUGGGUGCAGUGGAGCAUGCCUGUAGUCCUAGCAACUCUGGAGACUGAGGCAGGAGACUCACAAGUUCAAGGACAGCCUCAGCAACUUAGCAAGGUCCUAAACAACUUAGUGAGACCCUGCCUCAAAAUAAAAAAAUAAAUGGGCUGGGGAUGUAGCUCAGUGGUAAAGUAUCCCUGGGUUAAAUCCCCAGCAGCAGGGCCUUACUAAGUUGCUGAGGCUGAUCUUGAACUUAUAAUCCUCCUGCCUCAG
Molecule: small RNA, 251 nt
Filed under: Marmota monax (woodchuck)
Lineage: Eukaryota; Metazoa; Chordata; Mammalia; Rodentia; Sciuridae
Source: RNAcentral